Peromyscus maniculatus bairdii (prairie deer mouse) is the source of this 578-nucleotide non-coding RNA. NCBI's taxonomy places the organism in Eukaryota, Metazoa, Chordata, Mammalia, Rodentia, Cricetidae. The record is from RefSeq and is a predicted model, not a curated record.
UGUCAGGCACUGAGUGAGGACAGACCAUCCCAGCUCAACCGCUGCUCUGCCACUAAUUUAAACUGCUGUCCAUUUUUGUCAUGGCUCAGUGGGAAUGAAAGUGUGGUGUUCAGGAUGGUGAGCUGGGUGGACAGAGAUGGGCACUUAGUGCCUGGCAUCCACUGAGCACCACACUAGUCCUUGACACCGGCGGGAUUAUUUCCGAAUUGGUUCUCCAGAGUUUACAAAUGGAGGCAGCAAAGUGUGGAGCUGCUGGGAGCAGGGACCUGCUAGGCCCUCCCUAGGGGCUCAGUACUGGAAGGUAGAAGAAGAUGGAAGUGGACUAGAGGAAGGAGAAGUCAAAAGGAGAUGCCCUUUGGGAUGUUGCAAACUUGUAAGGAUUUUGCUGACACAGCUAGUACAAAAGAAGAAGACUAGAUCAAGACCUAUAUCCUUCCGGGCUAUGCAGAUAGAGAAAUGGAGCCACAAGGAUAAAGUGAUGAUUCUGAGAUGUCUUCAAGGUGUUCAUCUUUCCCUGGGUCUUUUCUUCAUAGGUAUGCUGGGGGAUUCACUUUCCUACCCUCUCACAGUUAGGUGGU